This 266-nucleotide ribosomal RNA is filed under the name uncultured bacterium. Its description in RNAcentral is "partial 16S ribosomal RNA". It matches the Rfam family "Bacterial small subunit ribosomal RNA", at positions 205 to 472 of the family's 1533-position model. The record is from RNAcentral.
AGAAUUUCGGUUACCGAUGGGGAUGCGUUCCAUUAGUUUGUUGGCGGGGUAACGGCCCACCAAGACUACGAUGGAUAGGGGUUCUGAGAGGAAGGUCCCCCACAUUGGAACUGAGACACGGUCCAAACUCCUACGGGAGGCAGCAGUGAGGAAUAUUGGUCAAUGGACGAGAGUCUGAACCAGCCAAGUAGCGUGAAGGAUGACUGCCCUAUGGGUUGUAAACUUCUUUUAUAUGGGAAUAAAGUAUUCCACGUGUGGGAUUUUGU